AACUAAAUCCCCCAAAAUUUUGAACACCCGCUUCCUCUUCCUCUCUACUCUCUACACCCGCCAAAUCAACUUCAUUCUCUCCCUUCUUUCUCUCUGCAAACCCCUUCUUCUCCGAUCGACUUUCACUUCCUUCUAUGUGCAAACCCUAAUCAAACAUAACACAUUUGAAAUAGUAAUAUCUUCUUUCAUUUUCUCCCCUACUACUCUCUGUAAAACCUAGCAGCCUCCACCACUAGAAACAUGGAAAAUCCCCCAAAAUUUUGAAGUACCCCGCUCACUCCUCUCAAUAUCUCUUGCGCUUUCGUAUUUAUAGCCAGAGUUGGAGAGCGAAAAGAAGAAAGAAGAAAGAAAUGAUGUGAGGGUGUGAGGUGGCGUUCAAAGGUUGUCAAGGGGUUGUGAGGAGCUAUAGGGCUCAAGUUCGAGGUUGAAGAUUAGAAACCGAAGGUUGAAGAUCAGAUUUGGGAUUAGAUGAGUCGCUGGUACAACUGGCGUCGUCGUGGUGUAGGUCAGAUGAGUCGCCGGAGUCCAGGCCAAGUAACAGUGUCGCUGGAGUUUCGGGAAGCUAACGAUGUCAUCAAUUCGAGUGCAGGUGAUGUGCCGAUUAUUGAUUUUGGAUCAAUUACUAACUGUUUGCCAUUUUCUUUCUAGAAAAUCAAUGUAGUGUCUGCUUCUUAAUCUUGUUCUCUAUGAGUACCAUUGUUACCGUCUCUGGUAAAAACAUCUAACCAUAUGCCAGAUUCGUUGAUUCAGGCUACAAAAGUACCUGUUAAAGAGUAUGAGUUUGAUGAAAAGAAGAUGGCAAAUGUGCAGUCUCAUCUGGAAAAAUUGGUUGCCAAUAACUAUUACUUGAACAGGUCUCCAAAAGAUGCGUACAGAUAAAUAUAUUAUUCAUGAAGUGAAGGCAAGAAUAGUUGAAUGGACAAGGGCAGGCUGGUCAAGACUGGAAGCUUUACACAUUCAUAUCCAUUUUGUUGAAGAUCUGAUACCCCUCUUAUCUACAGAGCAGUUCCCAUGAUGAGCAGUUGCUUGAAGCAGCUUGGUGUCUUACAAACAUAGCUGCUGGAAAACCUAAAGAAACAAGAGCUUAAUUGCCUGCAUUACCUUUACUCAUUGCUCAAAUUGGAGAGUUCAGUGCCUGUUGCAGAGCAGUGUGCUUAAGCAUUAGGAAAUGUUGCAGGAGAAGGUGAAGAACCGAGACAAAUUCUGAUUUCUCAAGGGGAAUUACUUCCUCUUGCAAAAAUGAUGUUGCCAAAUAAAGUUUCAGUUAAUGGGUGAACCAAGUUUCUCUGAAAUGGCGACAGCAUUGUCAGGGCCUCCUUAUAUCUUUGUUUCUACUCCAGCUUGUGUCCAAAGAUGUCUUUCAUCAGGUGUUCUUCAAGCAAAAUCCGUUCAUGAUUAUCUUUCAAUUAUUAUUCUUGAUAAGG
Lactuca sativa (garden lettuce) is the source of this 1424-nucleotide long non-coding RNA. RefSeq lists it as uncharacterized. Lineage: Eukaryota; Viridiplantae; Streptophyta; Magnoliopsida; Asterales; Asteraceae. The record is from RefSeq and is a predicted model, not a curated record.